This 303-nucleotide ribosomal RNA is filed under the name uncultured bacterium. Its description in RNAcentral is "partial 16S ribosomal RNA". It matches the Rfam family "Bacterial small subunit ribosomal RNA", at positions 507 to 809 of the family's 1533-position model. The record is from RNAcentral.
AGCAGUCGCCGCGGUAAUACGAAGGGUGCAAGCGUUAAUCGGAAUUACUGGGCGUAAAGCGUGCGUAGGCGGUUUGUUAAGUCUGUUGUGAAAUCCCCGGGCUCAACCUGGGAAUGGCAAUGGAUACUGGCAAGCUAGAGUGUGUCAGAGGAUGGUGGAAUUCCCGGUGUAGCGGUGAAAUGCGUAGAGAUCGGGAGGAACAUCAGUGGCGAAGGCGGCCAUCUGGGACAACACUGACGCUGAGGCACGAAAGCGUGGGGAGCAAACAGGAUUAGAUACCCGAGUAGUCCUGUCUCUUAUACA